Molecule: ribosomal RNA, 508 nt
Filed under: uncultured bacterium
Lineage: Bacteria
Description: bacterial SSU rRNA
Rfam family: Bacterial small subunit ribosomal RNA
Source: RNAcentral
GACGAACGCUGGCGGCGUGCCUAUACAUGCAAGUCGAGCGGAUUGUUCCUUCGGGAACAGUUAGCGGCGGACGGGUGAGUAACACGUAGGCAACCUGCCUGUAAGACCGGGAUAACUAUCGGAAACGAUAGCUAAGACCGGAUAGCUGGUUCUCUCGCAUGAGGGAAUCAUGAAACACGGAGCAAUCUGUGGCUUACGGAUGGGCCUGCGGCGCAUUAGCUAGUUGGUGAGGUAACGGCUCACCAAGGCGACGAUGCGUAGCCGACCUGAGAGGGUGAUCGGCCACACUGGGACUGAGACACGGCCCAGACUCCUACGGGAGGCAGCAGUAGGGAAUCUUCCGCAAUGGACGCAAGUCUGACGGAGCAACGCCGCGUGAGUGAUGAAGGUUUUCGGAUCGUAAAGCUCUGUUGCCAGGGAAGAACGCUUGGGAGAGUAACUGCUCCUGAGGUGACGGUACCUGAGAAGAAAGCCCCGGCUAACUACGUGCCAGCAGCCGCAGUAACAC